AUAGAGCUGACGGGUCCCAAAUAGGACGAAACGCGCGUUGUCGAU
Molecule: non-coding RNA, 45 nt
Filed under: Schistosoma mansoni
Lineage: Eukaryota; Metazoa; Platyhelminthes; Trematoda; Strigeidida; Schistosomatidae
Source: RNAcentral